AAAAUACCUGAAUAUUUUCCAAAUGCAUAGUUAUUUUUGUAAAUUAACUUUCUCUUGUCCUAGGAAUUACCUGAAUUUGCGUUAAGUUACCCGAAUUUCUUAUGCAAAUCUACUUGAAUUUACCUGAAAAUCUACCUAAAAUCUACCUGAAAUUGCUCAUGAGCAAUUAUCAGGGGGGUGUUACACCCCCAACCUCCCCCCCCCCCC
Paramuricea clavata is the source of this 207-nucleotide non-coding RNA. NCBI's taxonomy places the organism in Eukaryota, Metazoa, Cnidaria, Anthozoa, Malacalcyonacea, Plexauridae. The record is from the annotation of a GenBank genome assembly.